UACGAAGGGUGCUAGCGUUGUUCGGAAUUACUGGGCGUAAAGCGUACGUAGGCGGCUUUGUAAGUCGAUUGUGAAAGCCCCAGGCUUAACCUGGGAAUUGCAACCGAAACUGCUUUGCUUGAGUUUGGUGGGGGAUGGUGGAAUUCCUAGUGUAGGGGUGAAAUCCGUAGAUAUUAGGAGGAAUACCGGUGGCGAAAGCGACCAUCUACGCCAAUACUGACGCUAAGGUACGAAAGCGUGGGGAGCAAACAGG
This 253-nucleotide ribosomal RNA is filed under the name uncultured bacterium. Its description in RNAcentral is "partial 16S ribosomal RNA". It matches the Rfam family "Bacterial small subunit ribosomal RNA", at positions 524 to 776 of the family's 1533-position model. The record is from RNAcentral.